This 77-nucleotide transfer RNA is filed under the name Nitrospinota bacterium. Its description in RNAcentral is "tRNA-Met". It matches the Rfam family "tRNA". Rfam says of the family: Transfer RNA (tRNA) molecules are approximately 80 nucleotides in length. Lineage: Bacteria; Pseudomonadati; Nitrospinota. The record is from RNAcentral.
GCCGGUGUAGCUCAGGUGGUUAGAGCACGUGACUCAUAUUCACGGAGUCGGGGGUUCGAGUCCCUCCACCGGCACCA